Sinocyclocheilus anshuiensis is the source of this 144-nucleotide long non-coding RNA. RefSeq lists it as uncharacterized. The record is from RefSeq and is a predicted model, not a curated record. NCBI's taxonomy places the organism in Eukaryota, Metazoa, Chordata, Actinopteri, Cypriniformes, Cyprinidae. The transcript is spliced from 3 exons.
CAAUUCACUUCAGAAAGGCAGAUGUCCAUAGAGUAAAUUGACAAGCAGAAUCAUACCGAUUUCCAAUGGAAGCUGAUUGAAAACAAGAAUGUCCACAACAGCUGGCCGGUUCUAUUGAUUGUGGGAUCUUCAUGUUGUUGGUAA